UGCCUCGNACUCUGGGAUAAGCCUGGGAAACUGGGUCUAAUACCGGAUAUGACCACAUGUCGCAUGGUGUGUGGNGGAAAGAUUUAUCNGNGCGAGAUGGGCCCGCGGCCUAUCAGCUUGUUGGUGGGGUAAUGGCCUACCAAGGCGACGACGGGUAGCCGGCCUGAGAGGGCGACCGGCCACACUGGGACUGAGACACGGCCCANACUCCUACGGGAGGCAGCAGUGG
RNAcentral lists this ribosomal RNA (229 nucleotides) under Nocardia transvalensis. Its description in RNAcentral is "partial 16S ribosomal RNA". It matches the Rfam family "Bacterial small subunit ribosomal RNA", at positions 127 to 357 of the family's 1533-position model. The record is from RNAcentral. Lineage: Bacteria; Bacillati; Actinomycetota; Actinomycetes; Mycobacteriales; Nocardiaceae.